UAAUACCGGAUGGCAUAUUUUUCCCGCAUGGGAUAAUUAUAAAAGAAUUUCGGUUGUCGAUGGGGGAUGCGUUCCAUUAGGCAGUUGGCGGGGUAACCGCCCCACCAAAACCAACGAUGGAUAGGGGUUCUGAGAGGAAGGUCCCCCACAUUGGAACUGAGACACGGUCCAAAUUCCUACGGGAGGCAGCAGUGAGGAAUAUUGGUCAAUGGACGAGAGUCUGAUCCAGCCAAGUAGCGUGAAGGAUGACUGCCCUAUGGGUUGUAAACUUCUUUUAUACGGGAAUAAAGUUAGCCACGUGUGGCUUUUUGUAUGUACCGUAUGAAUAAGGAUCGGCUAACUCCGUGCCAGCAGCCGCGGUAAUACGGAGGAUCCGAGCGUUAUCCGGAUUUAUUGGGUUUAAAGGGAGCGUAGGCGGGUUGUUAAGUCAGUUGUGAAAGUUUGCGGCUCAACCGUAAAAUUGCAGUUGAUACUGGCGACCUUGAGUGCAACAGAGGUAGGCGGAAUUCGUGGUGUAGCGGUGAAAUGCUUAGAUAUCACGAAGAACUCCGAUUGCGAAGGCAGCUUACUGGAUUGUAACUGACGCUGAUGCUCGAAAGUGUGGGUAUCAAACAGGAUUAGAUUCCCCUGUUAGUCACCCCAGUAAACGAUGAAUACUUCGCUGUUGGGGGAAAUACAGUCAGCGGCCAAGCGAAAGCAUUAAGUAUUCCACCCGGGGAGUACGCCGGCAACGGUGAAACUCAAAGGAAUGACGGGGGGCCCGCACAAGCGGAGGAACAUGUGGUUUAAUUCGAUGAUACGCGAGGAACCUUACCCGGGCUUAAAUUGCAACUGACUGAACCGGAAACGGUUCUUUCUUCGGACAGUUGUGAAGGUGCUGCAUGGUUGUCGUCAGCUCGUGCCGUGAGGUGUCGGCUUAAGUGCCAUAACGAGCGCAACCCUUAUCGAUAGUUACUAGCAGGUCAUGCUGAGGACUCUAUUGAGACUGCCGUCGUAAGAUGUGAGGAAGGUGGGGAUGACGUCAAAUCAGCACGGCCCUUACGUCCGGGGCUACACACGUGUUACAAUGGGGGGUACAGAAGGCAGCUACACGGCGACGUGGUGCUAAUCCCGAAAGCCUCUCUCAGUUCGGAUUGGAGUCUGCAACCCGACUCCAUGAAGCUGGAUUCGCUAGUAAUCGCGCACCAGCCACGGCGCGGUGAAUACGUUCCCGGGCCUUGCACUCAACGCCCGUC
RNAcentral lists this ribosomal RNA (1235 nucleotides) under uncultured bacterium. RNAcentral's name for it is "bacterial SSU rRNA". It matches the Rfam family "Bacterial small subunit ribosomal RNA", at positions 164 to 1398 of the family's 1533-position model. The record is from RNAcentral.